RNAcentral lists this unclassified non-coding RNA (250 nucleotides) under plant metagenome. Its description in RNAcentral is "partial contains small subunit ribosomal RNA, internal transcribed spacer 1, and 5.8S ribosomal RNA". The stretch from base 1 to 53 matches the Rfam family "Eukaryotic small subunit ribosomal RNA", at positions 1779 to 1831 of the family's 1831-position model. The record is from RNAcentral.
GGAGUAAAAGUCGUAACAAGGUCUCCGUAGGUGAACCUGCGGAGGGAUCAUUACAGAGUUCAUGCCCUACCGGGUAGAUCUCCCACCCUGUGUUAUUAUUACUUUGUUGCUUUGGCGGGCCGUUAGGCUCCGGCCCGACUACCGGCCCCGGCUGGUAAGCGCCCGCCAGAGGACCCAAAACCCUGAAUAUUAGUGUCGUCUGAGUACUAUAUAAUAGUUAAAACUUUCGACAACGGAUCUCUUGGUUCUG